This 558-nucleotide ribosomal RNA is filed under the name uncultured bacterium. RNAcentral's name for it is "bacterial SSU rRNA". It matches the Rfam family "Bacterial small subunit ribosomal RNA", at positions 341 to 914 of the family's 1533-position model. The record is from RNAcentral.
ACGGGAGGCAGCAGUGGGGAAUUUUGCGCAAUGGGCGAAAGCCUGACUGCAGCAACGCCGUGUGAGUGAUGAAGGCGAUCGGUGCGGGCCUCGUAAAGCUAUGUACGCCAGCUGGCGAAAGAAAUGUAUUGUGCUGAAUACCCGCGAUUAAGUUGACGGUAACGCCUAAAGGACGGAAGCCAUGGCGGCCGCAGGAAGUCGAUUCGCGUAGGCGGUCUGAUAAGUCAGAUGUGAAAGCCCACGGCUCAACCCAGGAAGUGCAUUGGAUACUGUCAGACUUGAAUACCAGAGAGGGAAAGUGGAAUUCCCAGUGUAGGAGGUGAAAUCCGUAGAUAUCAGGAGGAACACCGGUGGCGAAGGCGACUACCUGGACCGGAUACUGACGCUGAGACGCGAAAGCGUGGGGAGCAAACAGGAUUAGAUACCCUGGUAGUCCACGCCGUAAACGAUGAGUCAACUAGAUGUAGCGGGUAUUGAUCCCUUCUGCAGUCGAAGCUAACGCAUUAAGUUGACCGCCUGGGGAGUACGGUCGCAAGAUUAAAACUCAAAGGAAUUGAC